GAUGAACGCUGGCGGCGUGCCUAAUACAUGCAAGUCGAGCGAAUGGAUUAAGAGCUUGCUCUUAUGAAGUUAGCGGCGGACGGGUGAGUAACACGUGGGUAACUUGCCCAUAAGACUGGGAUAACUCCGGGAAACCGGGGCUAAUACCGGAUAACAUUUUGAACCGCAUGGUUCGAAAUUGAAAGGCGGCUUCGGCUGUCACUUAUGGAUGGACCCGCGUCGCAUUAGCUAGUUGGUGAGGGAACGGCUCACCAAGGCAACGAUGCGUAGCCGACCUGAGAGGGUGAUCGGCCACACUGGGACUGAGAUACGGCCCAGACUCCUACGGGAGGCAGCAGUAGGGAAUCUUCCGCAAUGGACGAAAGUCUGACGGAGCAACGCCGCGUGAGUGAUGAAGGCUUUCGGGUCGUAAAACUCUGUUGUUAGGGAAGAACAAGUGCUAGUUGAAUAAGCUGGCACCUUGACGGUACCUAACCAGAAAGCCACGGCUAACUACGUGCCAGCCGCCGCGGUAA
This 515-nucleotide ribosomal RNA is filed under the name uncultured bacterium. RNAcentral's name for it is "partial 16S ribosomal RNA". It matches the Rfam family "Bacterial small subunit ribosomal RNA", at positions 28 to 523 of the family's 1533-position model. The record is from RNAcentral.